Molecule: ribosomal RNA, 433 nt
Filed under: uncultured bacterium
Lineage: Bacteria
Description: partial 16S ribosomal RNA
Rfam family: Bacterial small subunit ribosomal RNA
Source: RNAcentral
AACGAACGCUGGCGGCAUGCCUAACACAUGCAAGUCGAACGAGACCUUCGGGUCUAGUGGCGCAAGGGUGCGUAACGCGUGGGAACCUGCCCUUAGGUUCGGAAUAACUCCCCGAAAGGGGUGCUAAUACCGGAUAAUGUCUUCGGACCAAAGAUUUAUCGCCUUUGGAUGGGCCCGCGUUGGAUUAGCUAGUUGGUAGGGUAAAAGCCUACCAAGGCGACGAUCCAUAGCUGGUCUGAGAGGAUGAUCAGCCACACUGGGACUGGGACACGGCCCAGACUCCUACGGGAGGCAGCAGUGGGGAAUAUUGGACGAUGGGCGAAAGCCUGAUCCAGCAAUGCCGCGUGAGUGAUGAAGGCCUUAGGGUUGUAAAGCUCUUUUACCCGGGAUGAUAAUGACAGUACCGGGAGAAUAAGCCCCGGCUAACUCCGUG